Camellia sinensis is the source of this 105-nucleotide small nucleolar RNA. The record is from RefSeq and is a predicted model, not a curated record. Lineage: Eukaryota; Viridiplantae; Streptophyta; Magnoliopsida; Ericales; Theaceae.
ACUUAAGGUGUGUAUCUGCUGUAAAUAUGGACAUAAAACAACAUAUAGGCUUUAGGUGGGCAUGCCGUGCACUUCAGAUUGCCCAUAAAGAACCUAUGUACAUUU